UGAUAUUAGUCAACUAUAAUAUUGCAUAAUCCACUGACCGCGUCGAAGACACAGUGUAUCGUUGAAUAAAAUAUGGAAAAUAUUAACUGGUUAUUACAAGUAUACAACAAUUUAGAAAACGGGGUUCAAAUCGAAACCGUUAGCCCCGAUGGACAUAUAUAUCAUAUUCAAGGUACUGGAGCUCAGCCAGUUAUUAUACUAUUUAGAAUGCGAAAGCGCCGCCGCCAAUCGAACAAUGAAGGAUCGAUGGAUAAUGAUAGCAGCUGCGGUGGCAGCAGUAGCAGCAAGGCCAUGCAAUACGGCUACC
Molecule: long non-coding RNA, 307 nt
Organism: Adelges cooleyi (spruce gall adelgid)
Lineage: Eukaryota; Metazoa; Arthropoda; Insecta; Hemiptera; Adelgidae
Exons: 3
Source: RefSeq, a predicted model, not a curated record